Molecule: ribosomal RNA, 475 nt
Filed under: uncultured bacterium
Lineage: Bacteria
Description: partial 16S ribosomal RNA
Rfam family: Bacterial small subunit ribosomal RNA
Source: RNAcentral
GAUGAACGCUAGCGGCAGGCCUAACGCAUGCAAGUCGAGGGAUAAGCCUUCGGGCUAAGACCGGCGCACGGGUGCGUAACGCGUAUACAAUCUGCCUUUUAUCCGGGGGAUAGCCCGAAGAAAUUUGGAUUAAUACCCUAUGGUAUAAGAGCACGGCAUCGUGCACUUAUUAAAGCUACGGCGGUAAAAGAUGAGUAUGCGUUCUAUUAGCUAGUUGGAGAGGUAACGGCUCCCCAAGGCGACGAUAGAUAGGGGUUCUGAGAGGGAUGUCCCCCACACUGGUACUGAGAUACGGACCAGACUCCUACGGGAGGCAGCAGUGAGGAAUAUUGGACAAUGGUCGGAAGACUGAUCCAGCCAUGCCGCGUGCAGGAUGACGGCCUUAUGGGUUGUAAACUGCUUUUGUAAGGGAAGAAUAAGGAGUACGUGUACUUUGAUGACGGUACCUUACGAAUAAGCAUCGGCUAACUCCGUG